RNAcentral lists this ribosomal RNA (253 nucleotides) under uncultured bacterium. Its description in RNAcentral is "partial 16S ribosomal RNA". It matches the Rfam family "Bacterial small subunit ribosomal RNA", at positions 524 to 776 of the family's 1533-position model. The record is from RNAcentral.
UACGGAGGGGGCUAGCGUUGUUCGGAAUCACUGGGCGUAAAGGGCGCGUAGGCGGCCGUUCAAGUCGGGGGUGAAAGCCUGUGGCUCAACCACAGAAUUGCCUUCGAUACUGUUCGGCUCGAGACCGGAAGAGGUUGGUGGAGCUGCGAGUGUAGAGGUGAAAUUCGUAGAUAUUCGCAAGAACACCAGUGGCGAAGGCGGCCAACUGGUCCGGUUCUGACGCUGAGGCGCGAAAGCGUGGGGAGCAAACAGG